UACGUAGGGGGCAAGCGUUUAUCCGGAAUCAUUGGGCGUAAAGCGCGUGUAGGCGGUUCCGUAAGUCCGCUCUGAAAGCCCAGGGCUCAACCCUGGGAGGCGGGUGGAUACUACGGAACUGGAGUACGGAAGAGGAGAUUGGAAUUCCUGGUGAGCGGUGAAAUGCGCAGAUAUCAGGAGGAACACCAACAGCGAAGGCAGAUCUCUGGGACGUUACUGACGCUGAGACGCGAAAGCGUGGGGAGCAAACAGG
This 253-nucleotide ribosomal RNA is filed under the name uncultured bacterium. Its description in RNAcentral is "partial 16S ribosomal RNA". It matches the Rfam family "Bacterial small subunit ribosomal RNA", at positions 524 to 776 of the family's 1533-position model. The record is from RNAcentral.